CGGCGCACGGGUGCGUAACACGUGGGACAACUGACCCUUUGGAAUGGGGGAUACCCCCGCGAAAGCGGGAUCAAUACCGCAUGAUAUUCAGGCAGCACUCGGAUCUUAUUGACUCAAAGCCCGCAAGGGCGUCUAAGGAGGGGCCCGAGCCCGAUUAGCUAGAUUGGUGAGGUAACGGCUCACCAAGGACUUUGAUCGGUAGACCGGUCUGAGAGGAUGGCCAGGACACACUGGAACUGAGACACGGUCCAAGACUCCUACGGGAGGCAGACAGUGGGGAAUAUUACGCAAUGGGCGAAAGCCUGACGCAGCGACAGCCGCGUGGGGGAUGAAGCUUCUCGGAGAUGUAAACCCCUUUCGAACCGGACGAAUGACCCGGAAAAGGGUUUUGACGGUACGGGUAUAAAGAAGACACCGGAUAACUAAGUGCACAAGAAAGAAAAGAGGAUAAUACGUAAGAGGGGACACAAGAAGAUUGCAUCGG
RNAcentral lists this ribosomal RNA (484 nucleotides) under uncultured bacterium. RNAcentral describes it as "bacterial SSU rRNA". It matches the Rfam family "Bacterial small subunit ribosomal RNA", at positions 96 to 536 of the family's 1533-position model. The record is from RNAcentral.